AUUGUACGCUGGCGGAAUGCUUUACACAUGCAAGUCGAACGGCAGCACGGGUGCUUGCACCUGGUGGCGAGUGGCGAACGGGUGAGUAAUACAUCGGAACGUACCCUGACGUGGGGAUAACGUAGCGAAAGUUACGCUAAUACCGCAUACGUCCUGAGGGAGAAAGCAGGGGAUCGUAAGACCUUGCGCGUUAGGAGCGGCCGAUGGCGGAUUAGCUAGUUGGUAGGGUAAAGGCCUACCAAGGCGACGAUCCGUAGCGGGUCUGAGAGGACGACCCGCCACGGUUGAACUGAGACACGGUCCAGACUCCUACGGGAGGCAGCAGUGGGGAAUUUUGGACACUGGGCGAAAGCCUGAUCCAGCCAUUCCGCGUGCAGGAUGAAGGCCCUCGGGUUGUAAACUGCCUUUGUACAGAACGAAAAGGCUUCUACUAAUACUAGGAGCUCAUGACGGUACUGUAAGAAUAAGCACCGGCUAACUACGUGCCAGCAGCCGCGGUAA
This 501-nucleotide ribosomal RNA is filed under the name uncultured bacterium. RNAcentral describes it as "partial 16S ribosomal RNA". It matches the Rfam family "Bacterial small subunit ribosomal RNA", at positions 30 to 523 of the family's 1533-position model. The record is from RNAcentral.